AAAAAGGUAAACUAUGGGUUCCUGUGUCAUCGUUUGACUGUCCAUCUUAUAUGAAUUUUUUUUAUAAUUAGUAUUUUCAUUGUUGAUAGAUGAUAAAACAUGAUUAAUACUUUAUGUGUGACUUGUCUUUUUAAUUUUUUUCAUAAUUUUUUUAAAUAAGACGGACGGUCAAACGUUGGACAGGGAAACCAGGGUUUGUCUUUUC
This is a microRNA precursor of Oryza sativa Japonica Group (Japanese rice), 205 nucleotides long. It matches the Rfam family "MIR812 microRNA precursor family". Lineage: Eukaryota; Viridiplantae; Streptophyta; Magnoliopsida; Poales; Poaceae. The record is from Rfam.